Molecule: microRNA precursor, 111 nt
Filed under: Paramuricea clavata
Lineage: Eukaryota; Metazoa; Cnidaria; Anthozoa; Malacalcyonacea; Plexauridae
Source: RNAcentral
GUUUGCAAAUUUUGUAUACUUUUGUAUCGCGUGCGGAAAUUGCUACCAUUUUCGGCCUAAAUGUGGUAGCAAUUUCCGCACGCAAUACAAAAGUAUACAAAAUUUGCGAAC